Molecule: non-coding RNA, 102 nt
Organism: Pelobates cultripes (western spadefoot toad)
Lineage: Eukaryota; Metazoa; Chordata; Amphibia; Anura; Pelobatidae
Source: the annotation of a GenBank genome assembly
CGGCACUCCAGAUGUUUUAGACUACAUUCCCCAUAAUGCUCUUACACCCAUAAUGCUGAUAUAGCAUUAUGGGCGGUGUAGUUCAAAACAUCUGGAGUGCCG